AGCAGCUGUGGACCACCGGUAGGUCGCCAGUCUCAUAAGCUGGAGAUAGGGGGUUCGAUUCCUCCCGUUGCUACCA
This 76-nucleotide transfer RNA is filed under the name Chromohalobacter israelensis. RNAcentral's name for it is "tRNA-Met". It matches the Rfam family "tRNA". From Rfam's summary of the family: Transfer RNA (tRNA) molecules are approximately 80 nucleotides in length. Lineage: Bacteria; Pseudomonadati; Pseudomonadota; Gammaproteobacteria; Oceanospirillales; Halomonadaceae. The record is from RNAcentral.